GCCAUAUAGGAGACAGACCCAGGGAACUGAAACAUCUAAGUACCUGGAGGAAAAGAAAGAAAAAUCGAUUCCCGUAGUAGCGGCGAGCGAAGUGGGAAGAGCCCAAACCGGCACUAGCCGGGGUUGUAGGACCUUCAUAAUUGACAAAUCAUGAUAGCCGAGUGGUCUGGGAAGGCCAACCGGAGAGGGUGAGAGUCCCGUAGGUGAAAUUGUGAAAUGCAUGGAAGGAAUCCUGAGUACGGCGGGACACGUGGAAUCCCGUCGGAAUCAACGAGGACCAUCUCGUAAGGCUAAAUACUACCUAGUGACCGAUAGUGAACCAGUACCGUGAGGGAAAGGUGAAAAGAACCCCGGAAGGGGAGUGAAAGAGAACCUGAAACCGUGUGCCUACAAAUAGUCAGAGCCCGUUAAUGGGUGAUGGCGUGCCUUUUGUAGAAUGAACCGGCGAGUUACGAUCCCGUGCAAGGUUAAGCAGAAGAUGCGGAGCCGUAGCGAAAGCGAGUCUGAAUAGGGCGAAGAGUACGAUGUUGUAGACCCGAAACCGUGUGAGCUAGCCAUGAGCAGGCUGAAGGUCAGGUAACACUGACUGGAGGGCCGAACCAGGGCACGUUGAAAAGUGCUUGGAUGACUUGUGGCUAGGGGUGAAAUUCCAAUCGAACACGGAUAUAGCUGGUUCUCUCCGAAAUAGCUUUAGGGCUAGCCUCGAUGGCAAGUCUACUGGAGGUAGAGCACUGAAUGGGUGAUGGCCCCACCUCGGGGUACUGAUCUCAAUCAAACUCCGAAUGCCAGAUAGAUAUCAUCGGGAGUCAGACUGUGGGUGAUAAGGUCCAUGGUCAAAAGGGAAAGAGCCCAGACCGCCAGCUAAGGCCCCCAAGUGUCCGUUAAGUGGAAAAGGAUGUGGAGAUGCACAGACAACUAGGAGGUUGGCUUAGAAGCAGCCAUCCUUUAAAGAGUGCGUAAUAGCUCACUAGUCGAGUGACUCUGCGCCGAAAAUGUACCGGGGCUAAACGGACCGCCGAAGCUGCGGAUUGACACUUAGGUGUCAGUGGUAGGAGAGCGUUCUAACAGCGGAGAAGCAGUACCGGAAGGAGCUGUGGAGCGGUUAGAAGUGAGAAUGCCGGUGUGAGUAGCGAAAGAUAGGUGAGAAUCCUAUCCAUCGAAAGCCUAAGGUUUCCAGGGGAAGGCUCGUCCGCCCUGGGUAAGUCGGGACCUAAGGUGAGGCCGAAAGGCGUAGCCGAUGGACAACAGGUUGAUAUUCCUGUACCACUUAUUAAACUGAUGGAGUGACGGAGAAGGCUAAGUUGAGCGUGUUAAUGGAUUCACGUGUAAGCAGUGAGGUGGUCAUGUAGGCAAAUCCGCAUGGCAUAACAUUGAGCUGUGAUGCCGAAGCCGUAUGGCGAAGUCAACUGAUGUCACGCUUCCAAGAAAAGCUUCUAGGGUUAAUUUAGUAAGUGCCCGUACCGAUAACCGACACAGGUAGGCGAGGAGAGAAUCCUAAGAUGAGCGAGAGAACUCUUGUUAAGGAACUCGGCAAAAUGACCCCGUAACUUCGGGAGAAGGGGUGCUUGUGAAAGCAAGCCGCAGUGAAUAGGCCCAGGCGACUGUUUAUCAAAAACACAGGUCUCUGCUAAACCGCAAGGUGAUGUAUAGGGGCUGACGCCUGCCCGGUGCUGGAAGGUUAAGAGGAGAGGUUAGCGCAAGCGAAGCUUUGAAUUGAAGCCCCAGUAAACGGCGGCCGUAACUAUAACGGUCCUAAGGUAGCGAAAUUCCUUGUCGGGUAAGUUCCGACCCGCACGAAAGGCGUAACGAUCUGGGCGCUGUCUCAACAAGAGACUCGGUGAAAUCAUAGUACCUGUGAAGAUGCAGGUUACCCGCGACAGGACGGAAAGACCCCGUGGAGCUUUACUGUAGCUUGAUAUUGAGCACUGGUGACACAUGUACAGGAUAGGUAGGAGACGAAGAAGCCAGGACGCCAGUCUUGGUGGAGUCGCUGUUGGGAUACUACCCUUGUGUUACUGGGGUUCUAACCCGUGGCCAUGAUCUGGUCAGGGAACAGUGUCAGGU
This 2064-nucleotide ribosomal RNA is filed under the name Bifidobacterium longum. RNAcentral's name for it is "partial 23S ribosomal RNA". It matches the Rfam family "Bacterial large subunit ribosomal RNA", at positions 167 to 2262 of the family's 2925-position model. The record is from RNAcentral. Lineage: Bacteria; Bacillati; Actinomycetota; Actinomycetes; Bifidobacteriales; Bifidobacteriaceae.